UGGGGAAUAUUGGACAAUGGGGGCAACCCGUGAUCCAGCCAUGCCGCGUGUGUGAAGAAGGCCUUCGGGUUGUAAAGCACUUUAAGCAGGGAGGAAGGCUUCAAGGCUAAUAUCCUUGAGGAUUGACGUUACCUGCAGAAUAAGCACCGGCUAACUCCGUGCCAGCAGCCGCGGUAAUACGGAGGGUGCGAGCGUUAAUCGGAAUUACUGGGCGUAAAGCGCACGUAGGCGGUCAUUUAAGUCGGACGUGAAAUCCCCGGGCUCAACCUGGGAACUGCGUUCGAUACUGGAUGGCUAGAGUGCGGUAGAGGGGGUGGAAUUCCAGGUGUAGCGGUGAAAUGCGCAGAUAUCAGGAGGAACACCGGUGGCGAAGGCGGCUUGCUGGGCCUGUCCUGACGCUGAGGAGCGAAAGCGUGGGGAGCGAACAGGAUUAGAUACC
RNAcentral lists this ribosomal RNA (439 nucleotides) under uncultured bacterium. RNAcentral describes it as "bacterial SSU rRNA". It matches the Rfam family "Bacterial small subunit ribosomal RNA", at positions 355 to 786 of the family's 1533-position model. The record is from RNAcentral.